Molecule: ribosomal RNA, 497 nt
Filed under: uncultured bacterium
Lineage: Bacteria
Description: partial 16S ribosomal RNA
Rfam family: Bacterial small subunit ribosomal RNA
Source: RNAcentral
GAUGAACGCUGGCGGCGUGCCUAAUACAUGCAAGUCGAGCGAACAGACGAGGAGCUUGCUCCUCUGACGUUAGCGGCGGACGGGUGAGUAACACGUGGAUAACCUACCUAUAAGACUGGGAUAACUUCGGGAAACCGGAGCUAAUACCGGAUAAUAUAUUGAACCGCAUGGUUCAAUAGUGAAAGACGGUUUUGCUGUCACUUAUAGAUGGAUCCGCGCCGCAUUAGCUAGUUGGUAAGGUAACGGCUUACCGAGGCAACGAUGCGUAGCCGACCUGAGAGGGUGAUCGGCCACACUGGAACUGAGACACGGUCCAGACUCCUACGGGAGGCAGCAGUAGGGAAUCUUCCGCAAUGGGCGAAAGCCUGACGGAGCAACGCCGCGUGAGUGAUGAAGGUCUUCGGAUCGUAAAACUCUGUUAUUAGGGAAGAACAAAUGUGUAAGUAACUAUGCACGGCUUGACGGUACCUAAUCAGAAAGCCACGGCUAACUACGUG